RNAcentral lists this long non-coding RNA (1279 nucleotides) under Homo sapiens (human). RNAcentral describes it as "HSALNT0395697". Lineage: Eukaryota; Metazoa; Chordata; Mammalia; Primates; Hominidae. The record is from RNAcentral.
AUGCAGCCAGGCACUCCCCACUUCUCUCUGCAAGAGCAGCCUCACCACCCCGACCGCAGGGGUCCAGGGACCCCGCAUUCCCUCCCCCGCCCUCAGGCCCCUGCAGGUGCUGAGCCCCAGGCAGGUCUGCAGUGCACGGCACUGCCGGGGGGACGGGGCAUGGACACACAUACCCAGUGGCCCCCAACUACCCACAAGAGCAGGGAGUGUGGCAGCUGCAGGGGUCCUCCCCACCCUGCCCCUCUGGGCACCUCCGGGUGUGCACGCAUGUUUGAGCGUGUGUGGACGUGAGUGUAUCUGUGCAUGUGUGCGAGCAUGUGCGUGUGUGUGCACGUGUGCAUGUGUGGAGUCUAUGAAUGUGUGUGUGUGAGCAUGUGUACACACGUGUGAAUGGAUGCAUAUGGGCAUACGUGAAUGUGGACUGUAUGGAUGUGUGGCAUGCGGGUGUGGGCGUGUGUGUGUGACGGUGUGGACUGUACAGAUAUGUGACGGUGUGGACUGUAUAGAUGUGUGUGUGUGUGUGACGGUGUAGACCAUAUAGAUGUGUGUGUGCAUGUGAUGGUGUGGACUGUAGAGAUGUGUGUGUGUAUGAUGGUGUGGACUAUAUGGAUGUGUGACGGUGUGGACUGUAUAGAUGUGUGUGUAUGACAGUGUGGACUGUAUAGAUGUGAGACGGUGUGGACUGUAUAGAUGUGUGUGUGUAUGACGGUGUGGACUGUAUGGAUGUGUGACGGUGUGGACUGUAUAGAUGUGUGCAUGUAACAGGUGUGGACUGUAUAGAUGUGUGUGUGUUUGUAUGACGGUGUGGACUGUAUGGAUGUGUGACGGUGUGGACCGUAUAGAUGUGUGUGUGUUUGUAUGACAGUGUGGACUGUACGGAUGUGUGACAGUGUGGACUGUAUAGACGUGUGUGUGUAUGACGGUGUGGACUGUAUAGAUGUGUGACGGUGUGGACUGUAUAGAUGUGUGCAUGUAACAGGUGUGGACUGUAUAGAUGUAUGUGUGUGUGUAUGACGGUGUGGACUGUAUGGAUGUGUGAAGGUGUGGACUGUACAGAUGUGUGUGUGUGUGUGUGAGACGGUGUGGACUGUAUGGAUGUGUGCGGGUGUGUGUGUGAGACGGUGUGGACUGUAUGGAUGUGUGCGGGUGUGUGUGUGAUGGUGUGGACUGUAUGGAUGUGUGCGGGUGUGUGUGAUGGUAUGGACUGUAUGGAUGUGUGUGGGUGUGUGUGUGUGAUGGUGUGGACUGUAUGGAUGUGUGGGCAUGCGGGUGUGGGUGU